This 891-nucleotide long non-coding RNA is filed under the name Pan troglodytes (chimpanzee). RNAcentral describes it as "long non-coding RNA NONPTRT005583". Lineage: Eukaryota; Metazoa; Chordata; Mammalia; Primates; Hominidae. The record is from RNAcentral.
CUUAAAGGCUCCAAGUCAAAAAUUGCUGGAAAAUGUACUGUGGGGUGAAUACUUUUAUCAGUCUUUCUCGACAUCAUUUCAUCAAGUUCUCAAGCUAAAUAAACAACUACUUCAGUGGUGUUGCAGCAAGUUCUCUGGGCUGAAUCCCUUCUGACCAUUGUUGUGAAGAUUCUGGUGUCCCAGUGCCUGAAAAUAGGUAAACCUCCCUGCCCCACUUCCACACCUCCCCAAUGCUCCUCACAGAUGCAGCUUUUGCCAGCCUUCUUGUGUGAUUUCAGUCCCAGGGGAUGUCAUUUAUACCACAUAGGACUUAUGCAUAAAUCUUUGCAACCUGCACACACCCUCAGUCACAGUCCUGAUUUCUGAUGAUCAAAACCCAUUUGUGCAUAAGGGACUUAAGGAUAGAUGGGAGGCCAGUGAGUCUUUCCACCUGAUGCAUGCAAAGGUACAGAGCUCUGGCUAGGCAUAAUGGUGAGGCUGUCAAACCUCAAUCCACCUCUCUGCUGCCUCACCUUCCCAAUAGUUGCCCCUUUUCCCUUGACAUGAAGCCUCCUCAUAGGUCCCUAGUUUGGGUCCCACCACUCAUUACCUCCUUCAUAUUGAUCCAUUUCCUGUCAAGCCCAGAUCUGACCCUUUUCUCUCAUCUCAAAAAGUCUUAGCAGACUUUUCUCUUUCCCUCAGUGCUGUACUAUGUGAUUUGCCAGGAGGAAAUGAAUCUUAUGCAUUAAUUUGAACUAAGGCUAAUGGCUGACACUAAUUUGAUGAAUUGCUCACAUAUUUUAAUGCCUUCAUUUAGGGAUGAGUAGUAAGGGACCAUUACAUACCUAGGCUGAGCCUUUGCAAGAGAUGUUUCCAACAGUGGGACUAUUCCACUCACAUGAGCAAUAUUGU